This 492-nucleotide ribosomal RNA is filed under the name uncultured bacterium. Its description in RNAcentral is "partial 16S ribosomal RNA". It matches the Rfam family "Bacterial small subunit ribosomal RNA", at positions 29 to 507 of the family's 1533-position model. The record is from RNAcentral.
AGUGAACGCUGGCGGUAGGCCUAACACAUGCAAGUCGAACGGCAGCACAGUAAGAGCUUGCUCUUACGGGUGGCGAGUGGCGGACGGGUGAGGAAUACAUCGGAAUCUACUUUUUCGUGGGGGAUAACGUAGGGAAACUUACGCUAAUACCGCAUACGACCUACGGGUGAAAGCAGGGGAUCUUCGGACCUUGCGCGAUUGAAUGAGCCGAUGUCGGAUUAGCUAGUUGGCGGGGUAAAGGCCCACCAAGGCGACGAUCCGUAGCUGGUCUGAGAGGAUGAUCAGCCACACUGGAACAGAGACACGGUCCAGACUCCUACGGGAGGCAGCAGUGGGGAAUAUUGGACAAUGGGAGCAAGCCUGAUCCAGCCAUACCGCGUGGGUGAAGAAGGCCUUCGGGUUGUAAAGCCCUUUUGUUGGGAAAGAAAAGCAGCAGGUUAAUACCCCGCUGUUCUGACGGUACCCAAAGAAUAAGCACCGGCUAACUUCGUG